UAGGGAAUCUUCGGCAAUGGACGAAAGUCUGACCGAGCAACGCCGCGUGAGUGAAGAAGGUUUUCGGAUCGUAAAACUCUGUUGUUAGAGAAGAACAAGGACGUUAGUAACUGAACGUCCCCUGACGGUAUCUAACCAGAAAGCCACGGCUAACUACGUGCCAGCAGCCGCGGUAAUACGUAGGUGGCAAGCGUUGUCCGGAUUUAUUGGGCGUAAAGCGAGCGCAGGCGGUUUCUUAAGUCUGAUGUGAAAGCCCCCGGCUCAACCGGGGAGGGUCAUUGGAAACUGCGAGACUUGAGUGAAGAAGAGGAGAGUGGAAUUCAAUGUGUAGAGGUGAAAUGCGUAGAUAUAUGGAGGAACACCAGUAGCGAAGGCGGCUCUCUGGUCUGUAAAUGAAGCUGAGGCUCGAAAGCGUGGGGAGCAAACAGG
This 429-nucleotide ribosomal RNA is filed under the name Gemmatimonadota bacterium. RNAcentral's name for it is "Gemmatimonadetes bacterium partial 16S ribosomal RNA". It matches the Rfam family "Bacterial small subunit ribosomal RNA", at positions 355 to 776 of the family's 1533-position model. The record is from RNAcentral. Lineage: Bacteria; Pseudomonadati; Gemmatimonadota.